UUACUGCUGAAGAGUCCUAGAAUGGGACGAAACAGAUAUUCAGUAA
RNAcentral lists this non-coding RNA (46 nucleotides) under Trichobilharzia regenti. Lineage: Eukaryota; Metazoa; Platyhelminthes; Trematoda; Strigeidida; Schistosomatidae. The record is from RNAcentral.